This 23-nucleotide unclassified non-coding RNA is filed under the name Acacia victoriae. RNAcentral describes it as "partial small subunit rRNA". Lineage: Eukaryota; Viridiplantae; Streptophyta; Magnoliopsida; Fabales; Fabaceae. The record is from RNAcentral.
CAAAGAUUAAGCAUUGCAUGUGA